This 222-nucleotide ribosomal RNA is filed under the name uncultured bacterium. RNAcentral's name for it is "partial 16S ribosomal RNA". It matches the Rfam family "Bacterial small subunit ribosomal RNA", at positions 15 to 228 of the family's 1533-position model. The record is from RNAcentral.
GAUCCUGGCUCAGGAUGAACGCUAGCUACAGGCUUAACACAUGCAAGUCGAGGGGCAGCAUGGUCUUAGCUUGCUAAGGCCGAUGGCGACCGGCGCACGGGUGAGUAACGCGUGGAUAACCUGCCUCACACAGGGGGAUAACAGUUGGAAACGACUGCUAAUACCGCAUAAGCGCACAGCACCGCAUGGUGCAGUGUGAAAAACUCCGGUGGUGUGAGAUGG